RNAcentral lists this ribosomal RNA (131 nucleotides) under Coriobacteriia bacterium. RNAcentral's name for it is "partial 23S ribosomal RNA". It matches the Rfam family "Bacterial large subunit ribosomal RNA", at positions 2796 to 2925 of the family's 2925-position model. The record is from RNAcentral. Lineage: Bacteria; Bacillati; Actinomycetota; Coriobacteriia.
AUCUCAAGAUGAGGUCUCUCACUGGGUUAACCAGGUAAGGCCCCUCGUAGACUACGAGGUUGAUAGGCCGCAGGUGUAAGUGCAGCAAUGCAUUCAGCCGAGCGGUACUAAUAGGCCGAGGUCUUGAUCUC